Molecule: ribosomal RNA, 253 nt
Filed under: uncultured bacterium
Lineage: Bacteria
Description: partial 16S ribosomal RNA
Rfam family: Bacterial small subunit ribosomal RNA
Source: RNAcentral
UACAGAGGGUGCAAGCGUUGUUCGGAAUUAUUGGGCGUAAAGCGCGUGUAGGCGGCUUUGCAAGUCGGGUGUGAAAGCCCUCAGCUCAACUGAGGAAGUGCGCCCGAAACUGCAGAGCUUGAGUACCGGAGAGGGUGGCGGAAUUCCCCAAGUAGAGGUGAAAUUCGUAGAUAUGGGGAGGAACACCGGUGGCGAAGGCGGCCAUCUGGACGGUCACUGACGCUGAGACGCGAAAGCGUGGGUAGCAAACAGG